Molecule: long non-coding RNA, 2104 nt
Organism: Rhagoletis pomonella (apple maggot)
Lineage: Eukaryota; Metazoa; Arthropoda; Insecta; Diptera; Tephritidae
Exons: 3
Source: RefSeq, a predicted model, not a curated record
UGAUUCAACUGAAUCAUAGUGGCUCAUAUUUGUCCAUAUAACUGUCUCACUUCGCCACAGUGUUUAGCAUGAAAAUGAGUCAGCAGUAGUAGCAAAGGAAAUGGUCAAUAUAACUCUCCCUGAUUCGCCACAGUGUUUAGCAUGGCAAAGACUUGCGUUUGCAACACCGAGGCGAAUUCAUGAAUUACAAAAUCAGCUGAUUGUUUCUAGGGCGAAGAAAGAAAACUUGAAGAAAUCUUUCUCGUUUAAGGUGUGUCGGAAUGAAAACACGAAAACAUGAAUUUUAAUAAAAUUUUAAGUAAAUUAACGCGUUGGGUGCCUUUAUUGUGUGAUGAAUAGACAGAAAAUUUAAUUUAUUUUGGAAAUUCUGCGGACACCACUUCUAUAGUGAUGUUUCAAUUUAUGUACGGGCGUUGGAUUCAUUCGUAGGCAAAGCGGGGUGCUCCGGGUACCAGAUGGAGAAUAUUCUCAGGUUAUGGCAUGUGUGGGUCAACAGAACGUUGGAGGUAAACUUAUACAACGCGGUAACCAGACCGUCGGCGCACAACGCCACAGUUAAUUUUAUACAAUGAGGGUUUUCAGUCGCACCGUCGGAAAUUCGCUUUGGGCCGGCUGAACGCCUUUCUACGCUAUAUGUGGUCGGGAGGGUCUUAACGAAACUACUGAAACCAGUUUUGAUUGGUCAAAUGAACGUUAUAUGCGUGAGGUUUUCAAAGGUGAUGUGACCUAAGAGUUGAGGGAAGGAAAUGCUCCCCCCCGAAUGAGAAAUCGAUGGGUAUCAGUUUUGUCGCAAGCAUCAAGCGAAGGUUAUAUUGCUGUGCAACUUACAACAUGAUUUGGAAUGUACAGACAAUUUUCCAUAUCUCUCUGUUCAUGUGGUGCAGCGGUGUUAAUGUGGUGGACAACAAUCUCUCUCCAACGCUACGCUGCUGUUUCAGUAAUUUUUUAGUUCUACGCCAUGCACAAAGUCAGUAGCUCUGUGUAAAUACAGAAGCUUUCGAAUGGCUCAUUGAGACACUUUUCCACAUACACAGCUUGUAAACGUAAGGAGGGUCAUCGUAAAAACUGUAAUACAGGUUCGCCUUAAUAUUUAAUUUGAAGUUGCCUUAAAAUUACUUUAGAUAAUUUAUGCCGUCAGUUAUUUGUUUGAGUAUACAUAUUUAUGCAAAUUGGAAUACACAUACAAUAUUUUAAUUUAAAAGUUUUAUAAAUGUACUAACUGAAGACAUGAAUAAAUAAUGAAGGUGGUAUGUCGCAAAAUUACGAUUCGAGAAAAUUAUAUAAGUUUAAAGUUUCGCAUAAAGAUAAAAAAUAGUGUGUUCAACACGUAUGUAGUUAGUUUCUAAAUUUUUCAUAACAACAGCUGAUUUACGGCUAAGAAAUAUUUAUAUGUAUAUAACAUCUUCAUCCAUGCAUAAAACAGCGAAAAUCCCAAAAUGGGACGUAAAACCUUCAAUUACUCAUUUCUUCAACUAUACUCGUAAAAAAAUAUUUUUUUCACCUAAGCACCACCGAGAUUUUUUCUAAAUUUUUAUUUUAUUGUAAACAUUUUCUCGACGGGAAGGCUUGCACUUAGCCAGCUGCCGUACUCCAGCAUUAAGUCAGAAUUAGUCCGGAAGAUAGUACUGAAGAUAUUAUUAAUGUGUAUACAGGAACGAAUUCCGGCUAUUUCUGACUAAAUCGUGAGUAAGGAGAGAGGCUAAUUACUGGGUACAGUGAUGUGCUAUAGAAAUGUCGGCGCUUCAAUAAAAAAAUAGGUACAUAUAUAACACUUUGUUUAUUUUUUAUACAUUUAUUUCAAACAACACGGAACAAAUAUUAGCAAUUUUAUGUUAUGCAACUAAAAAUACAAAAAUAAAUUAAAAAUUUUGAUACAAAAUGUAUGUAUAUUAAUAAAAUACGAUGUUUAUAUGAAGCGAGUUCGCAGGCAACUUUUGGUUGAAAGCACACAGUCGCCUCCAGUUUGGAAAAUUAACUUUUUUGUGAUAAAGUCUAAUAUCUCGGGAACAAGUACAGCUAGCAAAAUAAGUUUAACAGUAUUUUAAAGCUUUAAAGAUGAAGAAUUUAGGAAGAAAUUAUCGUUGGACAAAAAAUUAUCUUUACC